Molecule: unclassified non-coding RNA, 430 nt
Filed under: soil metagenome
Description: partial contains 5.8S ribosomal RNA, internal transcribed spacer 2, and large subunit ribosomal RNA
Rfam family: 5.8S ribosomal RNA (bases 1-121)
Source: RNAcentral
GAUGAAGAACGUAGCGAAAUGCGAUAAGUAAUGUGAAUUGCAGAAUUCAGUGAAUCAUCGAGUUUUUGAACGCACCUUGCGCUCUCUGGCUAAUCCGGGGAGCAUGCCUGUUUCAGCCUCAUUAAAACCAUCAAAAUUCGUCUUUUUUUUUAAAAGACGUAAUUUUGGAAUUGGGCCAUCUCGGAAAAUGUGAAGAAGAAUUUUCUUUUUUUCAUCCGAGAGGCUUGAAAUUGAGGCCUGGGACGUCGGUGACCCAAAGCGACAAUAGUGAUGGUCUCUUUGAUCCUUCUCUAAACAUCCGCUAGGUCGUCCGAUGAAUUUUUUCUGGGUUCGGUUGCAGGAAAACGGAGGUGAAAAAUUCCUCCACAAUUCUUGAGCUGAAAUCAGGCAAGGCUACCCGCUGAACUUAAGCAUAUCAAUAAGCGGAGGA